Molecule: ribosomal RNA, 253 nt
Filed under: uncultured bacterium
Lineage: Bacteria
Description: partial 16S ribosomal RNA
Rfam family: Bacterial small subunit ribosomal RNA
Source: RNAcentral
CACGUAGGGCGCAAGCGUUGUCCGGAAUUAUUGGGCGUAAAGAGCUCGUAGGCGGUCUGUCGCGUCUGCUGUGAAAACUCGGGGCUUAACCCCGGGCCUGCAGUGGGUACGGGCAGACUAGAGUGCGGUAGGGGAGACUGGAAUUCCUGGUGUAGCGGUGAAAUGCGCAGAUAUCAGGAGGAACACCGGUGGCGAAGGCGGGUCUCUGGGCCGUAACUGACGCUGAGGAGCGAAAGCGUGGGGAGCGAACAGG